UGCAGCCCUAAAAAGAAGAAAAAAAAAAAUCGCUUGUUUCUGGCCCAGGCUAGAUGACCUUGAGCAAAUUUGGUUCUAUUUUUGCAUUAAUUCAAUCAGGUCCAUAGCAUUAUGUGAAGAUGUGACAUGAACUACAAGAUCUUUUGAAACGUGAAUGAGGAGAGACUUGAAAUUCCUUUAAGAAGUCCAAAUUGCUUCCUGUGCCCCUGUGAGACUUUUUCUAGACUCAUUGAAUGUGAAGUUUGAGACAAUGUCCUAGGCAGGUUUCUGUUCUAAGAGUAGACCUGGUGCUGCAUUUCUGAAGACCUUCUAUUUUGGGGGGGGGACUUUUUUUCUACUAUUCUCGAUAAUGCAAAAUUUCACUUAUCUGCUUCUUGAGAGUAGGCAUGUGUGUGUGUCUGUGCAUGCACACUUGAAUGAUCAUGUGCUUAUGUUCACACAGUCAUCCCCAGAAAAUCUGGGAAAGCGGACCACACCAUAGGAUGUGCAGGCCUGGGAAUUUCAUUUGCUCCAGCUCAAGGUCAGACCCAAGUCAAAUUCACCCAAUGUGCUGUACCAUCCUCAAACUGGACUAGCAUCAGUUUCCAGUCUGGACUAGAAGCUUCAAACUUGAGUGCCAAGAGAGAUUGUGAAGAAAAAGUAGAUGAAUAGAACAGACGGUUGUGGACCAUUGGUUAUAAGGACCAGCAGGGAUAGCAUCACCUGGGAACUUAUCAGAAAUGCAAAUUAUCAGGCUCUUUCCCUGGACUGUUGAAUCAAAACUCUGGGGUGGAUCCAGCAAUCUAUGUUUUAAAAAGCCCUGCAGAAGACAGAUACUCAUGGAUUGUGAAAAUGCCAACUGGCCCACAUUGGACCUUGCUCACAGGGCAGAAAUUCAUCAUUUAGUCGUUGGCAAUGCAAAUUCUCUUCAACCCCUUGGAAACCAUUCCUGUUAGCCAUCCUUCAGAGGGUCGAUGCUGGGGCACAGUGUGAGCAGAAGAUGUAAAACCUGUUCUUCCUCUUGCGGAUGAUCUGCUACUACUUCAUUCUGAGCUGGGGAAAAUUGCAUGUGCAUCUGGUGACCUCCUUUUCUAUGGAGUGAAACCAUCUGGAAAUGUGAUUGUGAAGCUUGCUGAGCAGGAAAGAGAGAGCUGGAAAGUGAAGCCCAGGCUUUAUACUACCUCAGCUCUGAAACAGAAAAGACUGAGAGGAGAAAUGAAACUUGCAAGAUGAUGUCCCCCUUGGCUAGAACUCAGAGGAUGAUAAUCUGCACAACUACAGUGCCCAUUAUCUGGGCUGAGAUAUUCCAGAAGCAGAGAUGGGCCGGAAAGAGUAUGUUUCCAUCUUCUGUGCAGAAGGACUCCGUGGAACUUAGGAACAUGUAACUCUGAAGCAAGCGAGUCUGAUUGAGAAAGCAUAUUGCCCUCUUGUGAUCAGUGCAUUUUGACCUCAAGGGUACCACGUUCCACCAGUGAUAUAUAAACUCCAUGGGGCUCUGUCACAUCCUUGGAGGCAAUGCCCACAUCCCCACUCUGGGGAAGGAGGCCACCCAGUGCAACAGGGAUAGGGAUGCCUUUUUUGGAGAUCUGGAAAUUGUUACUACAUUUACAUUGAUUCUGUCCUCCUCUACAACUAACACAUCGGAAGGAAAGCCAUAAAAGGUAAUCUCUGGAUGCUUUCUCUUUGGAGUCCAAGACCCAGCUAGGGUCUGGGGUGGGAUGGGAAUAAUCACGCCCAACUGUAGGAUGAAGCAGUCCUAGAAGUAAUUGGGCUCUGGGACUAUAUGGGAGUGAAGGGGUAGAUAAAUCUCACAGCACUCUUCCAAUCUUAGGUUUCUGGAGACCAAAAUAUUCUUUUUCUUUGAAUUACCUUGGCAUAGUUGGUCUUUGCCAUGGCAAACAUCUGAGCCCCAUUGUUUGUGCAAUUUGGCCUGAAAAUAGAGACCUCAGCACUUCUCAGCUCAGCUGUGUGUGAGUGCUGCUGCCCUGCAUACCUCAUUUCUUACUGGUCUUCAUAAAUUCUGCUGCUGUCAGCUCAGGUUUUGUUUGUGGGAGCUAACACUGCCAGUGGUCAGGAAGAACAGCGUGAGCCAAAUUGUCCAUCCGAAUGUAUUUAGCAUCUAAUGCUGAGAUGUAAAGAAACCAAGAGAAAGGGGGAAGGAAAAUGAGAUGCCCUGGUGGAAACCUGCUAAACAUGGAGAACAUUUGGCAGGAGAACCACAAAUAAAUCACCAGUGGUCUGCACCUCACAAGGAGAUGCUUUGGUCCCUGGAAACCUUAGUGGGGGGUGAGUUACAGGGUGGAGAAGCCAGUCAGUUCUCAGGGAACGUGGUGAAAACACAGGCCUCCCCAGCGCCCUUACACAAACCUCCAUUCUCUGCACCACUCACGUCAGCAAUCCACAAAUCUCUCAUCCGCAAACUUGCUCCUGCACUGGAGAGUUAGAGGGGGGCACACAGGAUUCCAUGGACCCGGUCAGAUGCUCCACAAUUCUUCUGCUUGCCAUGCUGCCUCCAGGACUGGCCAGUUCUAGAACACUUCUCCCUGAGUGCAGCGCAUGCCACUGAGUCCAGAAACAUAUCAUCUGUACUAGUAGGUUAGAUGAUUUCCACUUCUCCGGAAACACAGAUAAUCAUUCUGCCUUGCAUUUAAUAUAGAGAUUGUAGCAUUAAUAAUAUUAGCUAAUAUUGAUUCAGUUCUAUAAUGCUCACCCCAUGUAACUGAAUAUAAAUUGCUUUAUUAAAAACUCUGACUUUUCUAGAACCUGUCUUUGAGGUUCUAAACAGACUGAGAAGUCUUAAAUCUCCAGUGUGUAGCAGAGUUGAUCUUGCAUUAGGGUUGUUUCAUGAGAACGUGAACAAAAGCUAGUGCUCUCCCAAAAAAAUAACAGGACACCAUAUUUACCAGUAGCAAUAUUUAAAAAGUAAAAAAUAAACAAGUGAGGAGUUCCCCUCAUGGUUCCGU
Molecule: non-coding RNA, 2942 nt
Organism: Sus scrofa (pig)
Lineage: Eukaryota; Metazoa; Chordata; Mammalia; Artiodactyla; Suidae
Source: RefSeq, a predicted model, not a curated record